This 405-nucleotide ribosomal RNA is filed under the name Microplitis n. sp. 'J.B. Whitfield'. Its description in RNAcentral is "partial 16S large subunit ribosomal RNA". The record is from RNAcentral. Lineage: Eukaryota; Metazoa; Arthropoda; Insecta; Hymenoptera; Braconidae.
GUCUUAUUGAAAAUAAUUUUAAGUCAAAUCUGCUCAAUGAAAAUUAAAUAGCUGCAGUAUCAAUAACUGUACAAAGGUAGCAUAAUAAUUAGUUUUUUAAUUAAAAACUAGAAUGAAAGAUUUAAUGAAAUAUAAACUGUCUCAAAUUUAAAUAAUAAAUUUUUUUUUUAAAUAAAAAAAUUUAAAUUUAAUUUAAAGACGAGAAGACCCUAUAGAAUUUUAAUUAUAAUAUUAUUAUAAUAAUAAUUAUAAUUUUAAUUGGGGAAAUUUUAAAAUUUAAAUAAUUUUUAAUUAAUUAAACAAUUAUUUUUGAAUAAAAAAUUUUUUUUAAAAAAAUAAAUUUAAAUUACCUUAGGGAUAACAGCAUAAUUUUUUUAAAAAGUUCAAAUUUAUAAAAAAGUUUAU